AUGAAGACGGACUAUGGUGUGGGGAUUGGGGAGGAUAGGCAUGAAGUGUCUUCACCUCUUGAAAAAAUAGAGGGCAAAUAUCAUCUGCCCAGGUCGCACACACGAACACUGGACCAGCCGCCGGCGGCGGCGGCGGCGCGAGCUCUGUCUCCGGGGAGAAGCUGCAUCAGUGCCGCAGCCAGUGGGCCAGCGGCUACUCCGUGCGUUGAAAGCAGGGUGUGCCCAACUCUGCUUUCGGGGAGUGGAGCUCGUCUUGGUGCGGCCGCCGGCGACGGGGGUGACCAGUCCAGGUUUGCUCCGGCGACCUCCGUUGCAAGCCCAGGCAGGUACACCAGGUCCACCAUGUCGGCCUUCACCGGCGUCUCCAUCGCCGGCAGCAACAGGCAGUGCUUCUGCGAGACGUCGGCCGUGGACGCCCGCGGGGACAGCGGCUACCACCUGCUCAUGGUCACCGGCUACUCGCGCACCAAACAGCUGAUUCCCACCGGCGAGGGCAUCACUGCCGGUCCUUUCAGUGUAGGAGGCCACGAUUGGAUGAUUGAGUACUACCCCAACGGCGAGAACCCGAGCUGCGCCGACGAGGGAGAGCCCGUGGAGGUCAGGUUCAGUUUCAGCCUCGUCGACCAGGUUGAGAAGCAGAUGGCGACGCACAUCCGUGGAACCGGUGAGACUCGCGACUUCUCCACCGCUACUUCAAUCUGGGGCAACGACAGGUUUAUGAGAAGAGACGCCGUUGAACAUUCAGCGGGUCUCAAGUGUGAUUGUCUCACCAUCCGGUGCGACGUCGUGGUCCUCCGCAACAGCAAGGUUGAUGAUGAUGAUGAUGCCGGUGGCCAUGGCGGCACCAAGGAGCUCCUGCUGCCGGACAUACACCAGCAUUUCAACAGUCUCCUUCAAAAUAAGGUGGGCGCCGAUGUGGCAUUCCAGGUCGGCGACAAGACCUUCGCCGCACAUCGGUGUGUGCUUGCUGCCCGAUCCACAGUGUUCAUGGCACAACUCUUUGGCCCCAUGAAGGAGGCAUCCAACACUGUCAUACAGAUCAAAGACAUGGAUUCAAAGGUGUUCACGGCUUUGCUUAGCUUUGUGUACACAGACUCGUUCCCUGACAUGUACGAGGACAACAUUAAGUUGAGUGAAAUAUGCAAAGAUACGGGACAAGGACAAGAAGAUGAAAUGCCGGAAGCUGUGGACCAAGGACAAGAUGCGGAAGCGGCAGAGGAUGAAAUGGGGCUGGUGCAAUGGCUGCAGGGCUUGUUUGUAGCGGCAGACCGGUACGAUCUCCAGCGGCUCAAGUUCAUCUGUGUAAAGCAGUUGUCUCAGCGCAUGGGUGUGAGCUCUGUGGCGUCCACCCUUGCUCUAGCCGAGCAGCACCACUGUCGUGGAUUGAAGGAGGAAUUAGUCUUCUUCUGGGUGCUUGCUGUUCUCCUCGGCUGGCGCCCCACACCCCCUAGGGAGACGAAGAUAAUGAAUAUCUUUUGGUCAAGCAUGUCCAAAGCUUUGGGAGUCAUUCAUAUGGUCCUGGCAUGCGCUGCCGCAUUAACAUCGUUACUCGAGCAUCAUAUUAGUGGGCGAUUUGGAAUAUUUGUCUGUUUUCAGGGGAGGCGAAGCAAUGCAACGGAGAGACUUGCACUAUGUGAGAUGAGGUAUAUUAGGUAUGCUCACUCCUGGACGAAAAAAAAGCUGUGCAAGUGCAAGCACACAUCACUUACUGCUGGACCGAGGAUUUUGGACCUUGUAUGGAGAAGAAAAGAGAAGAGGAGACUUGCUCUGACGGAUUGCUUGGCCGGAAUGUUAUGCGGCGGAUGCCGAGCACUCCCUGUAUGCACCUACCUCAAGGCCAACACGUUCCCUGCCCUGCCUGAUUUCUUGAGAGAAGAGCAGCAUGGAUCAGCCACCAUGACAGGGAUCAUCCAAACGCUGCCUCAAGCCCCCGGGCCCGGCGCCAUCAUCACCAUGUACAUGUACUCGACCACCACAGCCUCCCCUCACGCCGAAGGCCGCACGCACCCUCCCCUUGGCCACGAGCCUCAUAAACCGAUAGCUGAAAACUGA
Molecule: ribosomal RNA, 2052 nt
Filed under: Triticum aestivum (bread wheat)
Lineage: Eukaryota; Viridiplantae; Streptophyta; Magnoliopsida; Poales; Poaceae
Description: partial small subunit ribosomal RNA
Source: RNAcentral